Molecule: long non-coding RNA, 2709 nt
Filed under: Olea europaea subsp. europaea
Lineage: Eukaryota; Viridiplantae; Streptophyta; Magnoliopsida; Lamiales; Oleaceae
Source: RNAcentral
CCACCCCACAAAAUAAUGAAGAAAAGGAGAAGGGCAGAGUGAGAGAGAGUGCGCGGAAGAUGAGUUUAUCAAAAACUCUACAUAUCAGGGAUCAUUUGUGAAAAUAUUUACAAAUAUGAGCAAGUGGACUUGAAAGGGUUAUAUAAUUACAAUUAAUAAUUUAAAACUGCAAUAGAGAUAUAAACCUUUGAGAGUGAUCAAAAACCUUAAAGUUCAGGAGGAAAAGUUCGAGAGAGAAGAGAAACCUAAAGCUUGCGUGAAGAACUACUAUCAAAUGGAGACGAGGAUAGAUACAAUAUGGAAAGGCCUGCAAAUAUAAUCGAUAGUCUUCGCACAAUGUGAGAUGCAAAUCUCUGGAAAAAUUUAGCAGAAUUGAAGUUUUGACAAAAUAUUGACCUCUCGAAUCGUAAAUGUUGAGAAAAUUGUGAACUAGUGAAAUAUUCGGAAAUUAACUCGCCACAAUUUUAGGUUUUUCUUCUCAUCACCAUUGGUACUUAAUUAAGAUCUAGAAAGUGAAAAUAAUUUAUCAUUCAAAGUGAAUACCACCCUUACGUAAUUGUAUAUACAUUUCUAUUUGCUCGUUUGUAUUUUUUUGUUGAUAUAUAUGUAUUUAUAUGUAUACAGUGUCUAUUUCUAUCCAUGCAUGUUAUAUAUCAUACCCAUAUAUUAGAAAACUUUAAAGUGUGAAAUAUGUAAAUUGGUCAUUAACAAUUCUGCAAAAAUCAAGCACUCUGUAUGUCUAUAUGUAUAUAUAUAGUCUAUACAUGUAAAGUAUUAUAGUGUAUAAUAGAAAAAAUUUUAGAUGUGAAAUACGUAAUUUGGUCAUCAAAAAUUCUGCACCUGCAAGCCUUUGCAUAUUAUUCUGGUAUGUGCAUUUAUAUUUGUUUUUGUGUAUCUGCAUUGAUAAUGUUUAGACAUGUAUUUAAAUCAUGUGUGUAUAAUAGAAAACCUUUAGAUGGGAAAUAUGUAUAAAUUAGCCAUUAAUAAUUUUACAUAUAUUUAGUAGCUUUUUGCCAACAAAGCGUAUGUGUAGUAUCUUGUUAUAUACUCUUUUGUGCGACCACGGGCUAUUAGAUUAUGGAGACAAUAUAAAAGCGAGCUUGGAAUUUCAAAUAGACAUAUCUGGAAACCAUUUAUCUAUUUCCACUCCAUCCUCUAGCAUGCCAUGCCUGCAAGAGGAGGAUGAGGACUUUGAACCAUGCUGUUUGAUAAAUUUUCUCAAUAAUGAGGUAAAAACUUAUAAUUGUAGUUUUCUUAGUUUGCAAACAUGAGUAUUUUGAAGACAAAAAUCUAAAUUAACAUAUUUGUUUCUAUACUAUCUGCUUAAGCUGCAUAUGGUUAUCUUUAUUCUUGUUUGCCUUGAAAUUGAAAUACGUGUGCAUUUACUACAAACGUUAUGGAAGUAUAAUUGUGUUGGUUGGAUGUUCAUUAGGUGCUUGAGCCAUCAUCUAAGCUACCAAAUACCAAUUAUCAAGAGAUUAAGACUUUCGGUUAUGGUGUUUUUGGACUGAGUUGUUUAGAUUGAAAUUGGUUGUUGUGUUCGAUACGAGUUUGAUGCAUAACCUGAAAAGUAAUGAAGCUUAAGUUCACGUGAACUAUUGGUGCUUUUUGAUCUAAGGAAAAUGUCUUGUGUGCUAACACUAAUCGAUCACAUUUUGAGAUAGAUGUUGGAUAAAGAUAGACUCUGCUUGUGCAAUUCAACCAUAUGUAAAAGUAAUAAACAUAUUGUGAUUAAGAAAAUUAAGUGGUCAUAGCAGUUUUCCUAGUAUAUAUAUUUAAUAUGAUAGUUUUGAUUCUUGUGUGAACUCUGUAGAAAAAUAAUUAAAAAAUAAUUAUAUGAUUAUUUUUCCUCUACAUAUCAAUAAUAGAAGCAGAAAAUGAUGACCAUAACUUCAUAGUAAUUAUAAACACCAAACCUUGAAAUUAUGAUGACGUUAAGAAUCAAGAUGUCACAAAUAUGGUGUUUGUCGGCAAUCAACUGUAGAAAUAAUGUGAGUGAUAUAAGGGGACUUUGGUAAUUUUAUGUUUUAACUCUAGUUCUCAGUGGUGGUUCUGACUGCAUGUUGUUAACUUCAAUUAAUUAUCUGUCGACAACUUGCUUUUUUUUUUAUUAUUUAAAUUCGGAACAGGACUAUAAUUUUUUUUGCUCAAUGAGUAAUGUUCAAAACUAAUUUUUUUUUUAUUUUCUUUUGACAAAGAAUACUGCAAAACACAGCAUUGAUUUAAAUUUGGUCAGAGGAGUGAAUACCAAUUGAAUAGAACUUAACCAAUAGAGACGAGAGAAGAGAAGGGAGAGAAAAAAAGUGCAGAAGAUAAAAGAUAGAGAAAGAUAAGGGGAGAGACAAAUUUGUCGAUGGGAAAAUUCCUACAUAAUCAAAAUUCAAUUUCAAUUAUAUCUAAUGCAAAAUGAGCUCUCACGUGCACUUUUAUGGAUGUAGCAAAGAAUCAAAUCAAAUUAGUGCUCACGAUGACUACCAUGAGAUGGAAAUGAAAGAGACUUACUUUUACCCAAUUUACAAGUUGAGCAAUCAAAAGAAAUGGAAGAAAUUUUAUUUCCCAACACGCCAGAAUUGAACAAAUGAGAUAAAACAGCAAAGUUAGGAUGACUUAAACGUUUAUGCCAUACUUCACUCUUAUUGUUUCCUUCCAAUGCAAUUUGACACGAGUUACAUCUAAAUUCAAAAGCUCUGAUAGACAAGUUGACUAAGC